AUUGAACGCUGGCGGCAGGCCUAACACAUGCAAGUCGCGCGAGCGGCGGACGGGUGAGUAAUGUAUGGGGACUUCCCGAUAGAGGGGGACAACUACUGGAAACGGUAGCUAAUACCGCAUAAUAUCGGAUAAGCCAUAUGGGAUUAGCACGUAGGUGAGGUAAUGGCGCACCUAGGCGACGAACCCAAGCUGGUCUGAGAGGAUGAUCAGCCACAAUGGGACUGAGACACGGCCCGGACUCCUACGGAGGCAGCAGUGGGUAAUAUUGCACAAUGGGAGAAAGCCUGAUGCAGCCAUGCCGCGUGUAUGAAGAAGGCCCUAGGGUUGUAAAGUACUUUCAGUCGGGAGGCGUUACCGACAGAAGAAGCACCGGCUAACUCCGUGCCAGCAGCCGCGGUAAUAC
This 403-nucleotide ribosomal RNA is filed under the name uncultured bacterium. RNAcentral's name for it is "partial 16S ribosomal RNA". It matches the Rfam family "Bacterial small subunit ribosomal RNA", at positions 30 to 526 of the family's 1533-position model. The record is from RNAcentral.